Molecule: long non-coding RNA, 694 nt
Organism: Lemur catta (Ring-tailed lemur)
Lineage: Eukaryota; Metazoa; Chordata; Mammalia; Primates; Lemuridae
Exons: 5
Source: RefSeq, a predicted model, not a curated record
CUCCUGAUUUGCAACGAGAAAAGCUGUUAAUACUGCACAGGGGUAGGAAGAACACCAGACCUCCAGAGAAGGAAUGAGACACGAACUCCCUAGAAGUGGCGAAAUCAAAUGAACAUCUCGCCCCUUAAUUUUCAAGGUGUUGUCAGAUGACCCCAUAUGUCUUUUGUGGCAUCUCCCCCUCCAGUGCAGAAUCCGGUCUAAGUACUGGCUGACUUGUGCAGCGGCUUGAGCCUGUGUGCGCGCGGCUCUGACUGCUGAGCCAACAGGCUGCACUAAGGAGAACGGCCUCCCCGGAACUCCACGUAGCCGUGGCUCGUGGCCUGGAUGAUUGAAACGGCACCAAUAAAAGUCUGACCCUGUGGAAGGAGACAUGCGUGGACCUGGUUAUCUCUGAACUUUCACUGCUCACGGCAGAGACUGUAAAGAUUUUUAACCGGGGCGUCCCUGGAGGUCUUUGAGAAUGAGAAAAAUACCCAUCAGUCAAGGAGAAGUAGAAGUGACAAGAUGGAUUUAUAGAGCCCUCCAGGGUUCUGCUUUCCAGUAGCCUUCAAAUGGAUUUCCCCCACCCAAACCACAUCUGCUUUGUAAUCCAAAAGCCUUCCCGACUGCAAUAAAGCUGCUGUAUUGAUUUCACACAAGUGAAAAGUAAAGUAACAAAAGGGCAUGGGAGAGAAGGAAAGCACCAAGAAUGAGA